ACCAAAAAAGAAAAACGCAAAACACAAUAAUGAGGUGGUGUUUUUAUUGCGUACUCUUCAUUGCUUUUUUUUCUUUUCUUUUUUUGAACUAUUGCCAUCUACUCCU
RNAcentral lists this non-coding RNA (106 nucleotides) under Aurantiochytrium limacinum. Lineage: Eukaryota; Bigyra; Thraustochytrida; Thraustochytriidae. The record is from RNAcentral.